Molecule: long non-coding RNA, 332 nt
Filed under: Bos taurus (domestic cattle)
Lineage: Eukaryota; Metazoa; Chordata; Mammalia; Artiodactyla; Bovidae
Description: long non-coding RNA NONBTAT024727
Source: RNAcentral
CUCCUUUCAGUAUGAGAUGUUGAACAUCAACCACUUUGUGAUAAGUGAACCACUCUCUCUAAAUUGUUUUUGUUUGGUUGCUUAAGUGUUUUCUACCAGGAGUUGAAAAAAAAAGGAAACAUGUUACUUUUGUAAAGGCAAAUUAGACAAGUUAGACUUGAUUGUAAUUUGAUAGUAAUUAGGUUAAUUUCUCUCACAAGGGAAAUUUGACCGGGAAAUUUUGGAAAGCUAGUUUUUACUGGCAGUCAUUUAGAAGGGUAAAUAAGCACUUAAAAUUUUUUUCACUAAUAUUUCUGUAACUAUUUGAAGCUGACAUACUGUAAUCUCAAAAA